This 393-nucleotide ribosomal RNA is filed under the name uncultured bacterium. Its description in RNAcentral is "bacterial SSU rRNA". It matches the Rfam family "Bacterial small subunit ribosomal RNA", at positions 505 to 898 of the family's 1533-position model. The record is from RNAcentral.
GUGUCAGCCGCCGCGGUAAUACGUAGGUGGCAAGCGUUGUCCGGAAUUAUUGGGCGUAAAGGAUGCGUAGGCGGUUUUUUAAGUGGGAUGUGAAAUCCCCGGGCUUAACUCGGGAGUGGCAUUCCAAACUGGAAAACUAGAGUGCAGGAGAGGAAAGUGGAAUUCCCAGUGUAGCGGUGAAAUGCGUAGAGAUUGGGAGGAACACCAGUGGCGAAGGCGACUUUCUGGACUGUAACUGACGCUGAGGCAUGAAAGCGUGGGGAGCAAACAGGAUUAGAUACCCUGGUAGUCCACGCUGUAAACGAUGAGUACUAGGUGUGAGGGGGUACCACCCCUUGUGCCGCAGUUAACACAUUAAGUACUCCGCCUGGGAAGUACGGUCGCAAGACUAAA